UCAGUUCCCACGUGUCCUGGGUGCAAUU
This 28-nucleotide small RNA is filed under the name Bombyx mori (domestic silkworm). RNAcentral describes it as "ovarian small RNA-25836". The record is from RNAcentral. Lineage: Eukaryota; Metazoa; Arthropoda; Insecta; Lepidoptera; Bombycidae.